GAUUCACAUUGGAUAGUAGACAUGAACAAAUAAACUAUCAAACCAAACAAUGUGGUCAAGACUAUUAGAUUAGAGAAAGACCGUAUUGCAUUUGUAAUCCCGAACUGAAUAGGUUCUCUAACCUUUUCUGAUUAGCUUGGGUAACCAUGACAUGUUGCUAGGCGUCAACCAUGGUUUGUGGAAGCCCUAAACGUGUGUAAUCACUAAAGGGAGAAUUGAAAAUAGUUUCAAUUCACAAUCGAUGUAAAAUGGUUUUAAUCGCCCACUACCUCGCUAAAAGGAACCUAAUGGAUCGCACACCAUAAAAGGUGGAGAUUGAAGAUUAAACGGAGAUGAGUAAGAAUGAUUAAAUGGUUUAAUCAUUUAAAUUAUGGCAAGGAUUAAUUAAUAUGUUAAUUAAUCAAACGAAUAAGUUCGUUAAAGACCUCGGGAUAGUUUUGGACCUUAAGGCCCAAUGGGCUUCAAAAGUCAAGCCCAUUGACUUAAGUUGUAUGACAACUUAAUGAAUAAAGAUUCACAAAGGCCCAAAAGCCCAAAAAUCCCUAGGUAGGCCGGCCAUGAUGAAAUGAAUUAGGGUUUUGGUUGUUUAGGUCACUUAAAGAAGUGACUAUAUAAAUGACUUUAUAGCCAAAUAUUCAUUAUAGGAUUAAAAAGGUUUAUUUUUGGGGAAAAUUGGUGAGA
RNAcentral lists this long non-coding RNA (681 nucleotides) under Malus domestica (apple). RNAcentral describes it as "long non-coding RNA (MDOM_LNC016019)". Lineage: Eukaryota; Viridiplantae; Streptophyta; Magnoliopsida; Rosales; Rosaceae. The record is from RNAcentral.